UGAGGAAUAUUGGUCAAUGGCCGAGAGGCUGAACCAGCCAAGUCGCGUGAAGGAAGAAGGAUCUAUGGUUUGUAAACUUCUUUUAUAGGGGAAUAAAGUGGAGGACGUGUCCUUUUUUGUAUGUACCCUAUGAAUAAGCAUCGGCUAACUCCGUGCCAGCAGCCGCGGUAAUACGGAGGAUGCGAGCGUUAUCCGGAUUUAUUGGGUUUAAAGGGUGCGUAGGUGGUGAUUUAAGUCAGCGGUGAAAGUUUGUGGCUCAACCAUAAAAUUGCCGUUGAAACUGGGUUACUUGAGUGUGUUUGAGGUAGGCGGAAUGCGUGGUGUAGCGGUGAAAUGCAUAGAUAUCACGCAGAACUCCGAUUGCGAAGGCAGCUUACUAAACCAUAACUGACACUGAAGCACGAAAGCGUGGGGAUCAAACAGGAUUAGAUACCCUGGUAGUCCACGCAGUAAACGAUGAUUACUAGGAGUUUGCGAUACAAUGUAAGCUCUACAGCGAAAGCGUUAAGUAAUCCACCUGGGGAGUACGCCGGCAACGGUGAAACUCAAAGGAAUUGACGGGGGCCCGCACAAGCGGAGGAACAUGUGGUUUAAUUCGAUGAUACGCGAGGAACCUUACCCGGGUUUGAACGUAGUCUGACCGGAGUGGAAACACUUUUUCUAGCAAUAGCAGAUUACGAGGUGCUGCAUGGUUGUCGUCAGCUCGUGCCGUGAGGUGUCGGCUUAAGUGCCAUAACGAGCGCAACCCUUAUCACUAGUUACUAACAGGUGAAGCUGAGGACUCUGGUGAGACUGCCAGCGUAAGCUGUGAGGAAGGUGGGGAUGACGUCAAAUCAGCACGGCCCUUACGUCCGGGGCUACACACGUGUUACAAUGGUAGGUACAGAGGGCAGCUACCCAGCGAUGGGAUGCGAAUCUCGAAAGCCUAUCUCAGUUCGGAUUGGAGGCUGAAACCCGCCUCCAUGAAGUUGGAUUCGCUAGUAAUCGCGCAUCAGCCAUGGCGCGGUGAAUACGUUCCC
Molecule: ribosomal RNA, 1019 nt
Filed under: uncultured bacterium
Lineage: Bacteria
Description: bacterial SSU rRNA
Rfam family: Bacterial small subunit ribosomal RNA
Source: RNAcentral